Long non-coding RNA from Nerophis ophidion (straightnose pipefish), 2202 nucleotides. RefSeq lists it as uncharacterized. The record is from RefSeq and is a predicted model, not a curated record. Lineage: Eukaryota; Metazoa; Chordata; Actinopteri; Syngnathiformes; Syngnathidae. The transcript is spliced from 3 exons.
AAGUAUCCUUCUCUCAGGUGUGGAGACUUUGACAGAAGCAGCAGUGAACUUCGCGGGACAUUCUGAGAGGCGUGCUGACUUUCCAACUCGGCGUGGACUCGCUUGACAAGACGACCGCUGACACUUUUCUUCUUCGCAGCGUCGCUUUUUCUUUUUUUUUUUUUUUUUUGUUUAUCCUCCGUGUUGUGAUUGAAACCCUCCCCGGAGAAGCGGCAGAGAAGUCGGCGAAAACAGUGUUCUUCGAAUGUGGUGCAGGCCGCACUUUGGACCAACCAGGUUGGUUUGAGUGGAUCUUUCCGUGCUGGCAUCUUCUACACAGGCCACCAAUGGACAGGAGGAUAUCUGCUGAGGCGCCACUGAAUUUGGAGAUGGCGCUCUUGAGCCCGGCUAACCUGGUCUUCAUCAGCCCCGUGCUGGUGAUGUGGUCCGCAUGGCAGUGAGUGUUCACUGGAAACACGUCAGCACCAGGUUAGUAGCGUUCUGUUUGAACUGGACUCCAGGAAGAAAAAAAACAUCACAACCGAAGCUGGGUACGGACCUGCUACUUGUAGAUGGAGCCCCAGUUCUUGGAUGAGCUUCAGGUCUCUGUCGAUGGUCUCCAAUACGGGGUCGAUGAGGAUGGCCUCCUUGGUCUCGUUGUCAGCCAGAAGGUAAGUGUAGGUGCUGCUGUCUGAUUCAAACAGCUUCCACACAAGGGUGGGAUUCAUUGUUAUUAAUUCAUUACAAAAGUGUGUCGUGAGUUUAGUGGGGUUUUACGUUUAAAAGUACCGCAGUACGGGUAAAGAUUCCAUCUAAAUAUACCGAAAAUAUUGUCUGAUUACAAGAAAAUUUGAAAGAGUACCGCAGUACCUUUGAAAAAUACCUGUACUUUUUGUCAUACAUAGCAUUGCUAGUAAUAUGAGCCGAGGUGCAUGCGAGUCAACACACACACACAUAGAGCACCUACAUGUGGAAACAGUGUGGUGACAGACGAGAGAAUGGACGUAUUUAGGCUUAACAAAAAAAUUUGAGACCCACAGCUAAUUUCAACGACCCACGGCGCAUUCUAGAAAUACUUCUACAAAGAAAAUUAAAUGGAAUGAAAGAACAAACAGGGGAAAUGUAAUGAAAAAAGUUCCAAUGUUGACUCGAAACCCACAAAGUUUUUUUGUUUUGUUUUUUAAAACUUUCAGUCCUCAAAAAUUUAUAAUGAUAAAAAUAAAUGUAGGCCUAUGCAAUGUAUAACAUAUUAAAUAUCAUUAUAAAUAAUUAUUUCGAUGGUGGUCUGUGCGGUCAAACUAGACAUUUUAGCAGGGUAAUGCCAACAAUCUUUCCCAACUCCCGACGUAAAUAUUGCUGUGUCACUUUACAAAUACAUUUGGCUAAUAGAAAUCAGUAAAAUGUGGCAUAAUUACUUAGUAAACCAUCUUGCAAGAAGCAAACACAAGAGAAAUCUACAGCGUAGGACUUGUCGAUUGCCAGGUGAAGUUCCUUGGAGUAGGAUUCGGGGUCGGCUGCGUAUCUGGCAACCUCAGUCAUGGAAAGUGGGAGGGGACUAGAGAAUUUUGACCUUGAUUGCAGUACCAUUUCUAGCCAUGUUAUAACAUGUGUUAAGUGUUGAAAGUUAAAAAAAAAUGUAUGAUUUAUUUUUAACACUUUUAUAAGUGGUGCGUUUUUGAUCCCCCAAAAAAGUGAAUAGGAUUUUUUUAAUUAUUUAUAAAAUGGUCUAAAUAGGGCGGAAUGGUGGUUAGGGCAUGUGCCUCACAAUACGAAGGUCCUGAGUUCAAUCCCUGGCCCCUUCUGUGUGGCGUUUGCAUGUUCUCCCCAUGACUGUGUGAGUUCCCUUUGGGUACUUCGGCUUCCUCCCACCUCCAAAGACAUGCACAAAGACAUGUUGAUUGGCAACACUAAAUUGGCCCUAGUGUGUGAAUGUGAGUGUGAAUGUUGUCUGUCUAUCUGUGUUGGCCCUGCGAUGAGGUGGUGACUUGUCCAGGGUGUACCCCGCCUUCUGCCUGAUUGUAGCUGAGAUAGGCCCCAGCGCCCCCCGCGACCUCAAAGGGAAUAAGCAGUAGAAAAUGGAUGGAUGGAUAUUCCAAUUUGAAAUAUUUUUGAGGGGAAAUAUUGCAUAUUUUGUGUAUUUUUUGCCUAAACAAAACAUGGUGUUGAUCAAACAAUAAUACUUAAAACAUAAUCUAUUGAUAAAUAAACAGACCUGAAUUCAAU